Molecule: non-coding RNA, 338 nt
Organism: Electrophorus electricus (electric eel)
Lineage: Eukaryota; Metazoa; Chordata; Actinopteri; Gymnotiformes; Gymnotidae
Source: RefSeq, a predicted model, not a curated record
GUUCAUUUUAACCGAGCAGAUUCUGACUUCAGAAGGGAUCUUCUUUACCUCUAUAAUGCCUGGCUCUUAUUACACUGCAAAUACCUGGUACGUCACCACGGCUCUAGCUGCGUUGUCGUCCGUGGCUCAUAUCGGCCAUGUGCUGGUCUGUUACAGGAAGCACAUCAAGAGGCUGUGGGCGGGAAACAGGAGCUUCCUGCCGGAAAAGUACCGCACGCCAAACUCUGCUGAUAGCGUGGGGAGGUGGGGUUUGGAAUUGGUCAGUUAGCUGUUCCCCUGAGACCCAGCCCUGCUCUUGGAGAUCUACCCCCCAUGGCUUCGCCCUGCCCCACUUUGCA